This 497-nucleotide ribosomal RNA is filed under the name uncultured bacterium. RNAcentral's name for it is "partial 16S ribosomal RNA". It matches the Rfam family "Bacterial small subunit ribosomal RNA", at positions 28 to 507 of the family's 1533-position model. The record is from RNAcentral.
GAUGAACGCUGGCGGCGUGCCUAAUACAUGCAAGUCGAGCGAACGGACGAGAAGCUUGCUUCUCUGAUGUUAGCGGCGGACGGGUGAGUAACACGUGGAUAACCUACCUAUAAGACUGGGAUAACUUCGGGAAACCGGAGCUAAUACCGGAUGAUAUUUUGAACCGCAUGGUUCAAAAGUGAAAGACGGUCUUGCUGUCACUUAUAGAUGGAUCCGCGCUGCAUUAGCUAGUUGGUAAGGUAACGGCUUACCAAGGCAACGAUGCAUAGCCGACCUGAGAGGGUGAUCGGCCACACUGGAACUGAGACACGGUCCAGACUCCUACGGGAGGCAGCAGUAGGGAAUCUUCCGCAAUGGGCGAAAGCCUGACGGAGCAACGCCGCGUGAGUGAUGAAGGUCUUCGGAUCGUAAAACUCUGUUAUUAGGGAAGAACAUAUGUGUAAGUAACUGUGCACAUCUUGACGGUACCUAAUCAGAAAGCCUCGGCUAACUACGUG